Strongylocentrotus purpuratus (purple sea urchin) is the source of this 468-nucleotide long non-coding RNA. RefSeq lists it as uncharacterized. The transcript has 2 exons. The record is from RefSeq and is a predicted model, not a curated record. Lineage: Eukaryota; Metazoa; Echinodermata; Echinoidea; Camarodonta; Strongylocentrotidae.
UAUAUACUACUAAACACUAGAGGGCGUACUCGCUCAAAUUGCUGCUCCGAGCUGGAGCGGUGGCCGCCAUUACUAAGGAGGGCAGAAAAACGGACGACCCAACAAGAUACUGUGCACAACAUACGUGGAAAAAUUGAAGAAGCCAGGUUCGUGCGUUGCAUUUGGAUGUUCGAACCGAAGAAAGAAAGGGAACUGCAUAAUAUUUCACAAGAAUACACUCAAGAGAGGAAAGGAUGUUACACACCACAUCUCAUUCCUAGAGCUGUGCCUACUGUCUUUCCUGGACAUCCUCCCUAUAAACAGACCCAUGGCUCAAGACUCCCAGCAAAACCAUGUACAACAUCCGAAAGUGUUCCCGUGCCUCCAAAGAAACCCUAUGACAUUACAAAAGAACAUGACUAUUCUUUUUCUGUCUGAGUUGAUUAGAAACUGAAUAUAACCAGACAGCAAGUGCAGGAUGCCAAGAAG